This 460-nucleotide ribosomal RNA is filed under the name uncultured bacterium. RNAcentral describes it as "partial 16S ribosomal RNA". It matches the Rfam family "Bacterial small subunit ribosomal RNA", at positions 338 to 795 of the family's 1533-position model. The record is from RNAcentral.
CCUACGGGAGGCAGCAGUGAGGAAUAUUGGUCAAUGGCCGUAAGGCUGAACCAGCCAAGUAGCGUGAGGGAAGACUGCCCUAUGGGUUGUAAACCUCUUUUAUGCGGGGAUAAAGGUGUCCACGUGUGGCUGUUUGCAGGUACCGCAUGAAUAAGGACCGGCUAAUUCCGUGCCAGCAGCCGCGGUAAUACGGAAGGUCCGGGCGUUAUCCGGAUUUAUUGGGUUUAAAGGGAGCGUAGGCCGGUCUUUAAGCGUGCCGUGAAAUUUGUGGGCUCAAACAUGAGAGUGCGGCGCGAACUGGAGACCUUGAGUGCGCGGAAGGCAGGCGGAAUUCGUGGUGUAGCGGUGAAAUGCUUAGAUAUCACGAAGAACCCCGAUUGCGAAGGCAGCCUGCCGCAGCGUUACUGACGCUGAAGCUCGAAAGCGCGGGUAUCGAACAGGAUUAGAUACCCUUGUAGUC